ACGAAACAGCAAAUUUCUUGAGGUUGGUUGAUCUUUGGUUGGGUGUGUGGCGGGGGAUAUAAUUCUCCGCUCCUCAUGCCUGAUCUGAGCGUCCCACUCGGAAUUUUGUUACCCACACUUGUGCACCGUCACCUGUCUUUGGCAAGGAAAAGCGAGGAAGCGAUUCCACGCGGAGUGCCUGCCGAACAAUUUCAACCUAUAAAUUAUUGAACCACCUGUCUGAAGAUUUUUGGCAUGCCUGUAACAGGGUGGGCCAGUUUUAUUCUAUAAAAACUCAAUA
This 280-nucleotide unclassified non-coding RNA is filed under the name uncultured fungus. Its description in RNAcentral is "sequence contains ITS1". Lineage: Eukaryota; Fungi. The record is from RNAcentral.